GACGAACGCUGGCGGCGUGCUUAACACAUGCAAGUCGAACGAAGUGGCGAACGGGUGAGUAACGCGUAAUCAACCUGCUCUUCAGAGGGGGAAAACAGUUGGAACCGACUGCUAAUACCCCAUACUGAAGGAGUGGAUUGCGUCUGAUUAGCUAGUUGGAGGGGUAACGGCCCACCAAGGCGAUGAUCAGUAGCCUGGCUGAGGGGUAGAACGGGCAAAUGGGGACUGGGGAAAGGCCCAAGAUCCUACGGGGGGCAGGAGGUGGGAAACAUCCGACAUGGAGCGAAGGCUGAAGGAGCAAAGCCGGGGGAGUGAGGAAGGCCGUCGGGUUGGAAAGCUAUGUUAAGCGGGACGCGGUACCGGAAUAGAAAGCAACGGCUAACUACGUGCCAGCAGCCGCGGUAAUAC
RNAcentral lists this ribosomal RNA (408 nucleotides) under uncultured bacterium. RNAcentral describes it as "partial 16S ribosomal RNA". It matches the Rfam family "Bacterial small subunit ribosomal RNA", at positions 28 to 526 of the family's 1533-position model. The record is from RNAcentral.